Molecule: long non-coding RNA, 897 nt
Organism: Armigeres subalbatus
Lineage: Eukaryota; Metazoa; Arthropoda; Insecta; Diptera; Culicidae
Exons: 3
Source: RefSeq, a predicted model, not a curated record
UUCUUCUUUAUCGAAAAACAGUUUGACGUUUACUUUUUGCAGAAGGAGUAAAAGAAACAAAGCAACAUUAUUUCAAAACAAGCUUAUUCGAAAUUUUUCAUCUCGCUCUAGCUCAUUGGCUUUAUUUCGAAAACUUCGACAAGUCGAUGCGAGUUCGGUCGGUUCGGUCGUGAAACAAAAAAAACGCGAAAAUCGGAAAAUUACAAAUGGUGCUUCCGUCGUGAUAGCUUCAAGUUUAUUGCGUGCUAAUAACACCGAUCGUCGUUGCUUAUAUCCUGAGCUUGGCAUCAAUACAAGCCCUUGAAAAGACCAGCGCCACGGGAUGCCCGCGUAAAAAAUAUUGGUCCGGAGAGUAUGUUCUGGGCACCGACUAUUGCUAUAGUCUGAUCCUGCCUUGAUACAGCUCGCACCAGGUAAUGAGAAGAUCUGCGCUAAUAACUUCGAGCUCAAGAAAUGCGUUGCUUUAAGGAUGACAUUGAAGGCGGAACUGGGCACUUUCACACGUCAGGUUAAAGUUGGUGGUGCUUUCUUUCGGAAAGGACAGUUCACUCAGCGAGAUGGAAGUUGCUCAGAUUUGCAGGAGUCGGGAAAGUGGAUUGAAAACGAGAUCGACAUGUACCCAAGCAUGCACCAGUUAAGACGUUUCCGGGAUCUGCAUGGUGGAAGAACAUUAUUCUGUUCCCAUAGGUCAUUCCAGCUGGCUGCUUCUGCUUAUUUAGGAUUAUGGCGGCAUGGAACUUUCACUACACUGCCUCGUUAACUGCUAUGAUUCCACUGGAUUCCAUUGAUUGAUCUGAUCGAUUUUAUUGGAUUAUAUGAUAGCUUUGAAUAGAUUGGUCUGAUUGGUUGAAUUGCUUGUGUUGAAUGAGUUGAAUGUGUUGGUUUGGAAAAUUAGAU